This 492-nucleotide ribosomal RNA is filed under the name uncultured bacterium. RNAcentral describes it as "partial 16S ribosomal RNA". It matches the Rfam family "Bacterial small subunit ribosomal RNA", at positions 29 to 507 of the family's 1533-position model. The record is from RNAcentral.
AGUGAACGCUGGCGGUAGGCCUAACACAUGCAAGUCGAACGGCAGCACAGUAAGAGCUUGCUCUUACGGGUGGCGAGUGGCGGACGGGUGAGGAAUACAUCGGAAUCUACUUUUUCGUGGGGGAUAACGCAGGGAAACUUACGCUAAUACCGCAUACGACCUACGGGUGAAAGCAGGGGAUCUUCGGACCUUGCGCGAUUGAAUGAGCCGAUGUCGGAUUAGCUAGUUGGCGGGGUAAAGGCCCACCAAGGCGACGAUCCGUAGCUGGUCUGAGAGGAUGAUCAGCCACACUGGAACUGAGACACGGUCCAGACUCCUACGGGAGGCAGCAGUGGGGAAUAUUGGACAAUGGGCGCAAGCCUGAUCCAGCCAUACCACGUGGGUGAAGAAGGCCUUCGGGUUGUAAAGCCCUUUUGUUGGGAAAGAAAAGCAGCAGGUUAAUACCCCGCUGUUCUGACGGUACCCAAAGAAUAAGCACCGGCUAACUUCGUG